AGCUUUAUAGUCAAUAUAUGAUAUUAGAUUGCAAUUCUGAAGUAGUAAGUUUUACUAAAGCUU
RNAcentral lists this transfer RNA (63 nucleotides) under Quercophylus gonoporospinus. RNAcentral's name for it is "tRNA-Cys". The record is from RNAcentral. Lineage: Eukaryota; Metazoa; Arthropoda; Insecta; Hemiptera; Miridae.